Molecule: long non-coding RNA, 358 nt
Organism: Oreochromis aureus
Lineage: Eukaryota; Metazoa; Chordata; Actinopteri; Cichliformes; Cichlidae
Exons: 3
Source: RefSeq, a predicted model, not a curated record
UAGGUGGGUCUAAAAUGGAGGUUGUUGAGGGAAAACGACUCUGAUGCGGCUAGGUAGGCGGUAACUGCUGAUAAUCACAUGGCUACCGGCUACCGGCGAAAAUAACGGAGGAAAUCUGGACGAGACACGAGCAGAUAAAAUGGUGUGAAGUCCAGCCAAGGUCUAACACCCUGGACCUAUUCUUGUUCCUUGUGGAAAUUCUGGUACGAGAGAGGAGUUAGAGACUGGUGAGAUGCCAAGAGAGACAGAAGAGGAGUGAGAGUGUUUCCCCUGCUUUUCCCUGCAGAUCUGAACCCUGCACCCUUGUAUAUAGCACUUCUCCACUGUUGCACAUUUCACCUGGUGUUUGCAAAUAAAG